AACGAACGCUGGCGGCAUGCCUAACACAUGCAAGUCGAACGAAACCUCCGGGUCUAGUGGCGCACGGCUGCGUAACGCGUGGGAACCUGCCCUUAGGUUCGGAAUAACUCUCCGAAAGGGGUGCUAAUACCGGAUCAUGUCUUCGGACCAAAGAUUUAUCGCCUUUGGAUGGGCCCGCGUUGGAUUAGCUAGUUGGUAGGGUAAAAGCCUACCAAGGCGACGAUCCAUAGCUGGUCUGAGAGGAUGAUCAGCCACACUGGAACUGAGACACGGCCCAGACUCCUACGGGAGGGAGCGGUAGGGAGUAUUGGAAACUGGGCGAAAGCGUGGUCCAGCAAUGCCGCGUGAGUGAUGAAGGCCUUAGGGUUGUAAAGCUGUUUUACACGGGAUGAUAAUGACAGUACCGGGAGAAUAAGCUCCGGCUAACUCCGUG
This 433-nucleotide ribosomal RNA is filed under the name uncultured bacterium. RNAcentral's name for it is "partial 16S ribosomal RNA". It matches the Rfam family "Bacterial small subunit ribosomal RNA", at positions 29 to 507 of the family's 1533-position model. The record is from RNAcentral.